RNAcentral lists this ribosomal RNA (254 nucleotides) under uncultured bacterium. RNAcentral's name for it is "partial 16S ribosomal RNA". It matches the Rfam family "Bacterial small subunit ribosomal RNA", at positions 524 to 777 of the family's 1533-position model. The record is from RNAcentral.
UACGAAGGGGGCUAGCGUUGCUCGGAAUCACUGGGCGUAAAGCGCACGUAGGCGGAUCGCUAAGUCAGGGGUGAAAUCCUGGAGCUCAACUCCAGAACUGCCUUUGAUACUGGCAAUCUCGAGUCCGGGAGAGGUGAGUGGAACUGCGAGUGUAGAGGUGAAAUUCGUAGAUAUUCGCAAGAACACCAGUGGCGAAGGCGGCUCACUGGCCCGGUACUGACGCUGAGGUGCGAAAGCGUGGGGAGCAAACAGGG